RNAcentral lists this ribosomal RNA (253 nucleotides) under uncultured bacterium. Its description in RNAcentral is "partial 16S ribosomal RNA". It matches the Rfam family "Bacterial small subunit ribosomal RNA", at positions 524 to 776 of the family's 1533-position model. The record is from RNAcentral.
UACAGAGGGUGCGAGCGUUAAUCGGAAUUACUGGGCGUAAAGCGCACGUAGGCGGCUUGGUAUGUCGGGUGUGAAAUCCCCGGGCUCAACCUGGGAACUGCAUCCGAAACUGCCUUGCUCGAGUAUGGGAGAGGGAAGUGGAAUUUCCGGUGUAGCGGUGAAAUGCGUAGAUAUCGGAAGGAACAUCAGUGGCGAAGGCGACGUCCUGGACCAAUACUGACGCUCAGGUGCGAAAGCGUGGGGAGCAAACAGG